Molecule: long non-coding RNA, 212 nt
Filed under: Homo sapiens (human)
Lineage: Eukaryota; Metazoa; Chordata; Mammalia; Primates; Hominidae
Description: HSALNT0109564
Source: RNAcentral
GCCCAUCUCCCAUUUCUUGAGGAGCAUCAGUGUCUGGUUCAAUCACACCUUCUUUAUCAAUUUCUAGAUCACUUUCCUCACUUGAUGGUUCGUCUGCCUUUAAGUCUUCCUCCACCUUCUUACUGUCAGGUUUUUCUUCCUUGGUAUUUUCUUCUGAUUUAGCUUUCUGAGUAGCAGGUGGUACUUUACCUCCCAUGCUCUCCACCCACUCC